UACAGAGGGUGCAAGCGUUGUUCGGAAUUACUGGGCGUAAAGCGCGCGCAGGCGGGUCCGGUAAGUCGGAAGUGAAAUUUCGGAGCUCAACUCCGAAGCUGCUUCUGAUACUGCGGAUCUAGGGACCGGUAGAGGCUGGUGGAAUUGCAGGUGUAGCGGUGGAAUGCGUAGAGAUCUGCAAGAACACCCGUGGCGAAGGCGGCCAGCU
This 208-nucleotide ribosomal RNA is filed under the name uncultured bacterium. Its description in RNAcentral is "partial 16S ribosomal RNA". It matches the Rfam family "Bacterial small subunit ribosomal RNA", at positions 524 to 730 of the family's 1533-position model. The record is from RNAcentral.